GACGAACGCUGGCGGCGUGCCUAAUACAUGCAAGUCGAACGAGAGCGACCGGUGCUUGCACUGGUCAAUCUAGUGGCGAACGGGUGAGUAACACGUGGGUAACCUGCCCAUCAGAGGGGGAUAACAUCCGGAAACGGAUGCUAAAACCGCAUAGGUCUUCGAACCGCAUGGUUUGAAGAGGAAAAGAGGCGCAAGCUUCUGCUGAUGGAUGGACCCGCGGUGCAUUAGCUAGUUGGUGAGGUAACGGCUCACCAAGGCCGUGAUGCAUAGCCGACCUGAGAGGGUGAUCGGCCACAUUGGGACUGAGACACGGCCCAAACUCUUACGGGAGGCAGCAGUAGGGAAUCUUCCGCAAUGGACGCAAGUCUGACGGAGCAACGCCGCGUGAGUGAAGAAGGUUUUCGGAUCGUAAAACUCUGUUGUUAGAGAAGAACAAGUGCUAGAGUAACUGUUAGCGCCUUGACGGUAUCUAACCAGAAAGCCACGGCUAACUACGUG
RNAcentral lists this ribosomal RNA (498 nucleotides) under uncultured bacterium. RNAcentral's name for it is "partial 16S ribosomal RNA". It matches the Rfam family "Bacterial small subunit ribosomal RNA", at positions 28 to 507 of the family's 1533-position model. The record is from RNAcentral.